RNAcentral lists this non-coding RNA (1100 nucleotides) under Trichomonas vaginalis G3. RNAcentral describes it as "Eukaryotic large subunit ribosomal RNA". It matches the Rfam family "Eukaryotic large subunit ribosomal RNA", at positions 1168 to 2467 of the family's 3401-position model. Lineage: Eukaryota; Parabasalia; Trichomonadida; Trichomonadidae. The record is from Rfam by way of RNAcentral.
CCAUACGUCUGAAUAAGGUGCCGAAAUGUACUAUCACUGAUACCAUAAAGGGAGUCCAUGUAUUUAGACAGCAGGUCGGUGCCCCUAAAAGCAGGUAUCCGCUAAAGAGUGUGUUAAAACUCACCUGCCGAAUACUAGGGCCCCGAAAAUGAAUGGCGCAUAUAGUACUACCGAUCUCAGACAUCAGUUCUAUUGAACUGAGAGUAGGGGGAUGUGGACAUUUUUGUGAAGGUGCAAUGUGAGUUGGACUGGAAGAAUGUCUAUUACAGAUCCUAAUUGAAGUAGCGAUUAUCCAGGCUUGUAUCCUGGGGGCUGAUGAGGAGUAGGGUUUCUGGACAACUUAAACAGAUCCAGAGUUAGUCGAUCCUAAUCUCAAUAAUGGGAGAAAGGGAGUACAGUUGAUAUUCUGUAACUGACAACAGUUCGCGGCAACGCAUACUAUUUUUCUCCGCCAAUCUUAUACCGUUGGUAGGGAUCUCUUUCCUACAUGACAGUACUAAUACCCAGGGAAACUGGUCAUCAGGCGAACUGCGGCGUUCUGCUGGCAAAACAUAGCUUCGGUUAUGUCAAUGGCUAUUGGAUUGGUCCAUGAAGCGAAAAAUAGUUUACUGUGUCACUCGUACCGAUAACCGCAUCAGGUCUUCUAGGUAAGUAGCCUAUGGCCAUUGAGGCAUGAUAGUUCAGGGAAUUCGGCCAAUUAGAGCUGUAACUUCGGGAUAAAGCUUGGCUCUGAUGAAAAUCAGAACCGAUUGUUACGCGGAGAGCCCAACUGUUUAAUAAAAACGUAGUGUCGCGCUGUGGUAGUAUAGCCAGUGAACGCGACAUGAAUCCUGCUCAGUGCUGUGUCUGUUAAUAUGGUUCAAGCCAACGAAGCACCGGUAAAUAGCUGGGGUAACUAUGACUCUUAUCAAAGUAGCGAAAUACCUCGUCACUUAAUUAGUGACCUGCAUGAACGGAGCUAUGAGGUUCUCACUGUCCCAAACUGUCUCUCAGCGACCAACUGUAGUGGGAACGGUCACUAGAUAUCCAGCGGGGAAGAAGACCCUGUAGAGCUUCACUUUGGUCUAGUCUUGUAUAGUUCCUGCGGGGGUUGUAAACUA